This 95-nucleotide transfer RNA is filed under the name Colletotrichum fructicola Nara gc5. RNAcentral describes it as "tRNA-Ile for anticodon AAU". Lineage: Eukaryota; Fungi; Ascomycota; Sordariomycetes; Glomerellales; Glomerellaceae. The record is from RNAcentral.
GGUCGGUUAGCUCAGUUGGUUAGAGCGUGGUACUAAUACAUCAUCAAAUGUGUUGAGUAAUGCCAAGGCCGGGAGUUCAAGCCUCCCACUGAUCA